This 373-nucleotide ribosomal RNA is filed under the name uncultured bacterium. RNAcentral's name for it is "bacterial SSU rRNA". It matches the Rfam family "Bacterial small subunit ribosomal RNA", at positions 525 to 896 of the family's 1533-position model. The record is from RNAcentral.
ACGAACCGUCCGAACGUUAUUCGGUAUCACUGGGCUUAAAGAGUUCGUAGGCGGCCCGACAGGUGAGGUGUGAAAUCCCUCGGCUCAACCGAGGAAUUGCGCUUCAAACCGUCAGGCUUGAGGGAGAUAGAGGUGAGCGGAACAGAUGGUGGAGCGGUGAAAUGCGUUGAUAUCAUCUGGAACACCGGUGGCGAAAGCGGCUCACUGGAUCUUUUCUGACGCUGAGGAACGAAAGCUAGGGUAGCGAACGGGAUUAGAUACCCCGGUAGUCCUAGCCGUAAACGAUGAGCACUAGUCUGUGGGGACCCUCACAUCCUCUCGGACGUAGCGAAAGUGUUAAGUGCUCCGCCUGGGGAGUAUGGUCGCAAGGCUG